AUACGGAGGAUCCGAGCGUUAUCCGGAUUUAUUGGGUUUAAAGGGUGCGUAGGCGGCCUUUUAAGUCAGCGGUGAAAGUCUGUGGCUCAACCAUAGAAUUGCCGUUGAAACUGGGGGGCUUGAGUAUGUUUGGGGCAGGCGGAAUGCGUGGUGUAGUGGUGAAAUGCUUAGAUAUAACGCAGAACCCCGAUCGCGAAGGCAGCCUGCCAAGCCAUGACUGACGCUGAUGCACGAAAGCGUGGGGAUCGAACAGGAUUAGAUACCCUGGUAGUCCACGCAGUAAACGAUGAUCACUAGCUGUUUGCGAUACACAGUAAGCGGCACAGCGAAAGCGUUAAGUGAUCCACCUGGGGAGUACGCCGGCAACGGUGAAACUCAAAUGAAUUGACGGGG
RNAcentral lists this ribosomal RNA (393 nucleotides) under uncultured bacterium. RNAcentral's name for it is "partial 16S ribosomal RNA". It matches the Rfam family "Bacterial small subunit ribosomal RNA", at positions 523 to 918 of the family's 1533-position model. The record is from RNAcentral.